RNAcentral lists this ribosomal RNA (469 nucleotides) under uncultured Syntrophus sp. RNAcentral describes it as "bacterial SSU rRNA". It matches the Rfam family "Bacterial small subunit ribosomal RNA", at positions 338 to 798 of the family's 1533-position model. Lineage: Bacteria; Pseudomonadati; Thermodesulfobacteriota; Syntrophia; Syntrophales; Syntrophaceae. The record is from RNAcentral.
CCUACGGGGGGCUGCAGUGAGGAAUAUUGCGCAAUGGGGGCAACCCUGACGCAGCAACGCCGCGUGAGUGAGGAAGGUUUUCGGACCGUAAAGCUCUGUCGAGCGGGAAGAAAUGCAUAGUGGCUAAUAUCCAUUAUGCUUGACGGUACCGCUAAAGGAAGCACCGGCUAACUCCGUGCCAGCAGCCGCGGUAAUACGGGGGGUGCUAGCGUUGUUCGGAAUCAUUGGGCGUAAAGAGCGUGUAGGCGGCUUGAUAAGUCGGAUGUGAAAGCCCUGGGCUUAACCCAGGAAGUGCAUUUGAAACUGUUCAGCUUGAGUAAGGGAGAGGAAAGUGGAAUUCCUGGUGUAGAGGUGAAAUUCGUAGAUAUCAGGAGGAACACCGGUGGCGAAGGCGACUUUCUGGCCCUAUACUGACGCUGAGACGCGAGAGCGUGGGUAGCAAACAGGAUUAGAUACCCUAGUAGUCUGG